This 478-nucleotide ribosomal RNA is filed under the name uncultured bacterium. RNAcentral's name for it is "partial 16S ribosomal RNA". It matches the Rfam family "Bacterial small subunit ribosomal RNA", at positions 28 to 523 of the family's 1533-position model. The record is from RNAcentral.
GACGAACGCUGGCGGCGUGCUUAACACAUGCAAGUCGAACGGUAAGGCCCUUCAGGGUACACGAGUGGCGAACGGGUGAGUAACACGCGGGUGAUCUGCCCUGCACUUCGGGAUAAGCCUGGGAAACUGGGUCUAAUACCGGAUAGGACUCCGGACUGCAUGGUCUGGGGUGGAAAGCUUUUGCGGGUGGGGAUGGGCCCGCGGCCUAUCAGCUUGUUGGUGGGGUGAUGGCCGACCAAGGGGACGACGGGUAGCCGGCCGGGGGGGGUGACAGGCCACACUGGAACUGGAGUACGGCCCAGACUCGUACGGGAGGCAGCAGUGGGGAAUAUUGCACAAUGGGCGCAAGCCUGAUGCAGCGACGCCGCGUGAGGGAUGACGGCCUUCGGGUUGUAAACCUCUUUCAGCAUCGACGAAGCGAAAGUGACGGUAGGUGCAGAAGAAGGACCGGCCAACUACGUGCCAGCAGCCGCCGUAA